UACGGGGGGAGCAAGCGUUGUUCGGAUUUACUGGGCGGAAAGGGCGCGUAGGCGGCCACCGCAAGUCGGUUGUGAAAUCUCUGGGCUUAACCCAGAAAGGUCAACCGAUACUGCGGGGCUAGAGUGCAGAAGGGGCAACUGGAAUUCUCGGUGUAGCGGUGAAAUGCGUAGAUAUCGAGAGGAACACCUGCGGCGAAGGCGGGUUGCUGGGCUGACACUGACGCUGAUGCGCGAAAGCUAGGGGAGCGAACGGG
RNAcentral lists this ribosomal RNA (254 nucleotides) under uncultured bacterium. RNAcentral's name for it is "partial 16S ribosomal RNA". It matches the Rfam family "Bacterial small subunit ribosomal RNA", at positions 524 to 776 of the family's 1533-position model. The record is from RNAcentral.